RNAcentral lists this long non-coding RNA (1138 nucleotides) under Chrysolophus pictus (golden pheasant). RNAcentral's name for it is "lncRNA (ENSCPIG00010003492.1)". Lineage: Eukaryota; Metazoa; Chordata; Aves; Galliformes; Phasianidae. The record is from RNAcentral.
CACGGAGCACAGCUAGCAGCUCUCAGCCUGUGGGAGCCUCUCGCACGGCCGCCUUUGAACACCCUGACUCCUGGGUUGGGAGCCAAGGCAGGGCUGGCCACACACACGGGUGGGAGCACAUGGAGGUGCGGGCUGGGCUGCUGGCUGGGGGGCUGCAAGUUUGUUGCUCUUCAAAGAAUAUAGCUGUGUACACAUAGCAACUUCGUCUGAAGGGCACGGUUUUGCAAAAUCAACAUAAAGUUCUCCUGUCCAGCCCAGACCUGGUUUGUGUUGCAGCCACAAACAACAACACCAGCACAACAUGAGGCCUUCUCCUUCAGCAGCUCACUGCUUGGAAAGAUUUCAAGAGCGCUUCUGUCUCAUUUUAUGCCCUACAGUUCAGCAGCCAAAUAUAAAGCAAAAUUGAAGGAACUACCAAGAGGACAAUUCUGAAUUGUUCUGUCAGCAGAGACUUCAUGUCCAGAAAGACAAAGAUUUAAAGAAGCAUCUCUUGAAAAAUACAUCGUGUUUCUACGCAUUCUCUCCUCCCUGCCAUGAACAUUAGAGAAGCAGCAUUUAAUCCCUGUAACAGCACAUACGCAGCCCAAAACAUGCAUCCCAUUUUGCUCCUGGCAUAGGCAGCUGAUAGAGAUGAGGGUAUUUGCAUCCCUCCUCACCACGUUAGCCUUGCUCCACACCAGAGUAUUAGGCAACUUCUAAAACCACCUAUCCUCUUUCCACCAUGCUAAAGAGAGCAGGACAUGAAAAAAGCAGCUUCAAUCUGUUACAGUUCCCACUUCACAGAGGCAACAAACCAGGAGCUGCACAUUUUGUAACAGAAACUUAAAACGAGAAGAAACACCAGCACUCCCAGAGCUAAAGCUAGUUAUGUGAAUUAUGCUUCCUCUUUAUAGCUUAGUCUCACAACAGACUGCCAAUAUUUAUCUAUUUUGCUUUUUCUGACAGUAUUUUUACUAGCUAUCAGCAUACAGUUGAUACCACCAAGAAGAAACUAGCAUUUAGUGGUGACAGUAGUUGCCUAUUGCUUGGUACUGUGUAAACAGAGGUAAUUAGAACUUCACUACAGUGUUUAUAAAACCCUUUAGAUAGCCAAAAUGCCUUUCAUGUAUUCAAAUAAGUGAUGUCAAUACAAUGUGAU